AGAUUGAACGCUGGCGGAAUGCCUUACACAUGCAAGUCGAACGGCAGCACGGGAGCAAUCCUGGUGGCGAGUGGCGAACGGGUGAGUAAUACAUCGGAACGUGCCCAAUCGUGGGGGAUAACGUAGCGAAAGCUACGCUAAUACCGCAUACGAUCUACGGAUGAAAGCAGGGGAUCGCAAGACCUUGCGCGAAUGGAGCGGCCGAUGGCAGAUUAGGUAGUUGGUGGGGUAAAGGCUCACCAAGCCUUCGAUCUGUAGCUGGUCUGAGAGGACGACCAGCCACACUGGGACUGAGACACGGCCCAGACUCCGUACGGGAGGCAGCAGUGGGGAAUUUUGGACAAGUGGGCGCAAGCCUGAUCCAGCCAGUCCGCGUGCAGGAUGAAGGCCUUGGUGUAAACUGCUUUGUACGUAACGAAAGUCCUUUCUACUAAGUACAGGAGUCAUGACGUACGUAAGAAUAAGCACG
Molecule: ribosomal RNA, 469 nt
Filed under: uncultured soil bacterium
Lineage: Bacteria
Description: bacterial SSU rRNA
Rfam family: Bacterial small subunit ribosomal RNA
Source: RNAcentral